This 72-nucleotide transfer RNA is filed under the name Mustela putorius furo (domestic ferret). It matches the Rfam family "tRNA". From Rfam's summary of the family: Transfer RNA (tRNA) molecules are approximately 80 nucleotides in length. Their secondary structure includes four short double-helical elements and three loops (D, anti-codon, and T loops). Lineage: Eukaryota; Metazoa; Chordata; Mammalia; Carnivora; Mustelidae. The record is from Rfam by way of RNAcentral.
GCCUGGCUGGCUCAACUGUAGAGUAUGUGACUCUGGAUCUUGGGGUUGUGAGUUCAAGUCCCACACCGGGUA